Long non-coding RNA from Cavia porcellus (domestic guinea pig), 2662 nucleotides. RefSeq lists it as uncharacterized. The record is from RefSeq and is a predicted model, not a curated record. NCBI's taxonomy places the organism in Eukaryota, Metazoa, Chordata, Mammalia, Rodentia, Caviidae. The transcript has 4 exons.
AGCUGAGAAUGUUUGUGGCUUUUCCUAAGGAGGUCCCUGCCUUACAGAAAAGUUUAUAAUGGUCUUUUAGACUUGCUGGAGAUGAGAAUCUCGAGACUUAAGAGAGUCUCUCGGUAUUAGGCUGAUUUCAAUGAAUUAUAAAUUGAAGUAGCCACACUGAGGGAGGCCACCCAUCCAGCCCAAGUUAUAUGAACAGGGGUUUAAGAUGUCAGACCUCUCAUAUUUCAUGUGACCAUGCUGGAUCUAAGUGGAAAUUUUACACUGAAGGGGAAAGAUCAUGUCUGUGUUAUUUUAGAAAGGCGGUCUCUCCUCCCGCCGUGCUUUUAUCCUUCAGUGUUUUGUAAGUGUCCCGGUCUCCUGAGACGGAGGCGAGUGUUACUGCUGUUGUAUCACGGAUGGAGAGGUGGUGCAUGGAUACGAGUCGACUUUCACCUUGCAGUCCAGUGAAGUUUAGGGGUCCUGAAGCAGCUAUUUGGUUCAAGACAGACAACAGUGACAAAGUUGUGACCUAGGCUGUCCCUUGCUCUGCCUGCUGUGGCCCCAGGGACUUUCUGACAGCCAGGCUCGCAGGCCAGCUUGGAAUCCCUCGUUAACUGACUCAAGUCAUUGAAAGGCGACAUCAAGCCUGCUUUGAACUCUGCUCAGCGCUGGGCAAAUCCCAAGCAUGCACCACAGGGAAAUCGUGUGAAGUUUGAACCAAGGGUCUGCUCCCUGACCUAGAUCCACAGCCCUUUUUAUAAUUUUAUUUUUAGAUGGGGUCUCAUUAAGUUAUAGAUUAAAAACUGGGGUCAACUUAACACCAGCUGAAUUAAAUCACUGAGCAUGGAUGUUCCACCUGAGGAAAGCUGCCAGCCUAAGUAGAGACGGAGAAGGAGGGUAUUAAGGCAUUGAGGCAUUGUGAGUUUUCCUACAUGUUGCUGUUUGAGCCAUUGGUUCUCCUGGAGAAGCUCUGGUCCUCACAUCAAGUAUUGCUUCCUGGCUCCAGAGGAGAAGACGUGUGCUGCUUGGUCUCCAGGAUGAGCUCGUCAUGCUGGCUUCCUGGCAUGUACUUGACUGUGUUUGUCAUCGGAGGAGCUCGGGGCCUCUGUGUCGCUGAGGAUGGCUGUGGUGCUUUUUAGGACAGCCCUGGUCUUUGUUUUGAGUGUGACUUCUUGGCUCCAGCAUAGAAUCCUCAACCUACCAGCACAGCUCCUUCACCCCGCUGGCAUAGACUUUCUAGCUUCCACCGCUGACUUUUGGGCCUUCCCAGCACGGAUCUGUAAAAGAGUGUGGCGUGAGUCCUUCUCUUGGGCUCUGGACCUCCAGUUGGACUUGUAGGAGGCAUUGUCAUGAGCUCUGGGUCUUCAUCUGGACUCAUUGGGACAUUACUGUGGGGUUCAGACCCUUGGCUAAAUAUUCUAUGUCUUUAGUGUUGUAGAUCGAUUUCCUGCACUUUGUGUUAACUCUGGGUGACCAUCAUAAAUGAUAUUAUAAAUUCCAUGUCCUGGGUCUAACUGUUCUCCUCACAACCCCUGACUACAACAGUCACUAAGUCACCUAGGCUCAAAUUUGCUACCCUCCGCCUCUCAGAAUGCUAUGAUUUACAGGUGUGCUUCACCAUAUGUGGGGAGCUAUUGAGGCUGGAACCUGAACACAUGUGCAGGGCUGCAGCAGGCUGGGGCAUGGCUGACCACAGAACAAAAAGACACCUCACAGGGCAAGAUAAGGCCACAACUGAGGACAGCUGGCUCCAACCUCAAUUAACAAGAUAGAGAUUGUAGCUGCUGGCAUCUCAGUCCUAUAGUGAAAGUCCACCUGGAGACUUCCUCCUAAGAUACUUCUCCUAUAUUAACAGUCUAUUAUUUGGAAAAGUCAUUGAACCAUUCCCAAGGUCCUGCUCAGUUUCCUGCAUUUUCCAGUCUAACCCCUUCCUUGUUUGAAUACUAAAUAAAUACGGAUCACCCAGAGACAUCCUUGUCUCAGCCCCCAGAAGUCUCCAAACUCUGCAGAGAGUUUUGAUCCUCCUGGAGCCCCAAAAUCAUACCACUUGUCUCAUUUAUUUAAGCCUUAGCCGUAGAUGCAUUUAGGGUAUUGAUGAUCUUGGCCAGGUCCCCAAUAACCAUAGCUGAUUUACCUCUGUCAAACUUAUAAUCGAAGAAAUCUCAUUGGGCUGUCUCAUCCCAUGAUUCUUAUUGUAUAGUUCUAUAAAGUUGUCAUCCAAUUGUCAUCAAAACUGAUUUUACAUGGGGCUUGAGAGAAGCAGAAAACAAAGGGACCAGAGUGCCUGCCAGUGGUUUCCUUGCACAGUGGUAAGAUCAUGACCUGAGUAUCUGCAGGGAGCCUGUGCUGGGACGACAGUAUGCUGUGCCUCUGCUCUUUAUAUCAACGUGGAUGGGAGGGUAGUUAUAGUCCUUGUGGCCAAGCUCAUUUUAAACCAUCUUGUAGGCUCAAAAAUAGCCCAUACCUUGGGCUGAGUACCAGUUAUCCCUGCUGUGUGACAGAUAACCCCAAAAUGCAGAGGCAAAACCCAAAAACACUUACUAUGCACAGAGUCUGAGGUGUCGCUGGGGUUGGUUUUGUAGGUGGGUUCUGGUCUGCAUUUCUCCCGCGGCCGCCAUCAAGGUGUGGAUUGGAGCUGCGGUCGUCUGACGGCUUGACUGAGGAAGUCUACAUCCAAUGCCAU